CCUACGGGUGGCUGCAGUGGGGAAUAUUGGGCAAUGGAGGCAACUCUGACCCAGCAAUGCCGCGUGAGUGAUGAAGGUCAUUUUAUUGUAAAGCUCUUUUCUUUGGAACGAAUAACUGACUGUACCAAAGGAAUCAGCCCCGGCUAACUACGUGCCAGCAGCCGCGGUAAUACGUAUGGAGCAAGCGUUAUCCGGAUUUACUGGGUGUAAAGGGAGAGUAGGUGGCAGAGCAAGUCCGAAGUGAAAACCCAAAGCUCAACUAUGGGAAUGCUUUAGAAACUGCUCAGCUAGAGUGCAGGAGAGGCAAGUGGAAUUCUUAGUGUAGCGGUGAAAUGCGUAGAUAUUAGGAGGAACACCAGUGGCGAAGGCGGCUUGCUGGACUGUAACUGACACUGAGGCUCGAAAGCGUGGGGAGCAAACAGGAUUAGAUACCCGGGUAGUC
RNAcentral lists this ribosomal RNA (442 nucleotides) under uncultured bacterium. RNAcentral describes it as "partial 16S ribosomal RNA". It matches the Rfam family "Bacterial small subunit ribosomal RNA", at positions 338 to 795 of the family's 1533-position model. The record is from RNAcentral.